CCGCAUACCCCCCGCGGAGAGGUGUACGUUACGGUGCUACGGAGGCCUUACUGGUCCUAACGGCUGCUCGGGAAGGGUGAGGGAUGUAUCCUUGUCUGCUCCUGGCUUUUACCCUCUAAUUCAGGGCUAUGCUGGGUCCUGAGAAGCCUUAAAGCCAGGCCAGCACCUCAAGCUCCGGUUCCUGUGUGCUGCUCAGCCCAGACCUGCAACCGUCAGGUCACUUCAGGUUGGAAGGAUGCGGCCCAGUGCCCGCCCGCAACGAGGAGUUGCCUUAUAUCACAUAGGAAAAAACUCUUUCUUUCAGGUUCCUGCAUUGCAGAAGUGCCAGCUUGGUAUUUUAUACAGCAGGCAGCAGGUUGAUGUGGGUGCAGAUUGGAGCUGAAAUCCUAAUACAUACAAAAUACAGCCCUUCUUCUCUUCCCAGCUAAAUAACAAAGUACAGGUAAAUAACAAUAAAGGUAAAUAACAGGUAAAUAAAGGUAAAUAACAAAGUACACUGAAAUGUGUACUGAAUUCCUGACUUUUUGGUCAUUGCAGCUUAACUCUUAGCAGUGCUCCUUUCUCAGUUUCCAGUAUGACUUCUCCAGAAGAGCCUACAAAUUGCUGUGGGGCUUGUUAAGGACUUUAAUGAGCUGCUGAGGAAGACAGCGGGGAUUUGUGUGCAAGGUCAGUGGUUGCAAUCCACCACAGCCUUUGCCACAACCAGCUAAUGGCUGCUAAAUGGUCAGUAUGAAAUCAGUUUAGUAGAUUUCAAGACAGACAGCAGUUGAUAAAUGCCUAAAAAUCACUUCUCCAAUUGGCUUCCUUGUAGGCAGUCACAGCAAGUUAGUCAAGGUCUGAAGAGGCCAUGCAAAUUCAGCAGUUCCUGGAGGUUAAGAGCACAGACAAGAUUGCUCGUGAAUACUUUCACCCUGUUGUGAAUGCCAAAAGUCUUCAGAGGAGGUCACUGCACAGCACUGCAGAUGCAAAGAUGAAGCUUCAGGAAAGGAAACCACUCAGAUGUCGAUAAGUGAUGUGCCAGAUCAGGGAGGAGAGCUGCGUGCUGCCAAGUGCCCUAGACAGCAGAGACAUGUCCCCAAUUAUGGAUGUGCGGACUCAGAAGGAUUAAAAGAAAGAGCUGGCAGCGCAUCCCUGCUGUUGUCCUUCAAGAUGAUUCUGGCACGAUAG
RNAcentral lists this long non-coding RNA (1167 nucleotides) under Coturnix japonica (Japanese quail). RNAcentral describes it as "lncRNA (ENSCJPG00005020400.1)". Lineage: Eukaryota; Metazoa; Chordata; Aves; Galliformes; Phasianidae. The record is from RNAcentral.